This 340-nucleotide long non-coding RNA is filed under the name Amborella trichopoda. RNAcentral's name for it is "long non-coding RNA (ATRI_LNC004444)". The record is from RNAcentral. Lineage: Eukaryota; Viridiplantae; Streptophyta; Magnoliopsida; Amborellales; Amborellaceae.
CCAUGGUGCAAAGGCAUAGAUGGCAUCGGUGAAACUGUGUUAGGUGCCAUGCCAUGGUUCAGAGGCAUAUGAGGCAUUGGUGGAACUGUGUUAGGUGCCAUGCCAUGGUGCAAAGGCAUAGGAGGCCUUGGUGGAACUGUGUUAGGUGCCAUGCCAUGCAAAGGCAUAGGAGGCCUUGGUGGAACUGUGUUAGGUGCCAUGCCAUGGUGCAAAGGCAUAGGAGGCCUUGGUGGAACUGUGUUAGGUGCCAUGCCAUGGUGCAAAGGCAUAGGAAGCAUUGAUGGAACUGCGCUCGGUAAAAUUCCAUGGCUCAAAUUUGGAGGAAUGAUGGGGUUUUGCA